RNAcentral lists this ribosomal RNA (274 nucleotides) under uncultured bacterium. Its description in RNAcentral is "partial 16S ribosomal RNA". It matches the Rfam family "Bacterial small subunit ribosomal RNA", at positions 28 to 301 of the family's 1533-position model. The record is from RNAcentral.
GACGAACGCUGGCGGCGUGCUUAACACAUGCAAGUCGAGCGGUAAGGCCCUUUCGGGGGUACACGAGCGGCGAACGGGUGAGUAACACGUGGGUGACCUGCCCUCAGCUCUGGGAUAAGCCUGGGAAACGUGGGUCUAAUACUGGAUAUGACUCCACGGUGCAUGUCGGUGGGGUGGAAAGCCUUGUGCGGCUGAGGAUGGGCCCGCGGCCUAUCAGCUUGUUGGUGAGGUCACGGCUCACCAAGGCGACGAUGGCUAGGGGGUGUGAGAGCAU